AUUAUACCAGCCAUCUGUAGUGGUACCUGGGAAGGGCACACCAUAAAACUGCUGUAGGGAACCUUUUUCAGGACAAAGAUUGCAUCCCCCUUCAGGGAAGCCCCCAAGAGCCGCAUGACAGUGGUAGGUGUGGGGCAGAGGGAGAGGGGAAGGGAGGAAACAAUGUGACUUUGUACAGAGGGCACCAUUGCAGCUACACAAAAGCAAAUCGUUCUAUACCCCCUUUCCAUCUUCCAAUCCACUUAAACAAGAAGCAUUAUCAAAGUUCAAGGAAACUUUCCAACUAGGCAAAAGCACUUGAGGGUGUUUUUUUUACAGCCGGUGAAGGGGAUGAUAAGGACAGCAUCUGUUGGAUCUCAAUUGAUUUGUGGACUGGAAGUUUCCCACCCCUUUCAUAAAACUCGGGGGUUAUAUCCAACAUUAGUUGUAUUCAGAAUACACCCACUUAGUAGCAUAAAUCCAUUUAUUUCAGUGGGUCUGCUCUGAGUAUAGUAUUUUGAUAUCAUUCCAAUUAUUAAAAACAUCAGCACACAAAGACACCGAAAAAAUCUAAGCAGAGGAAAAGGCUAAAAUACUACUUUCACAUUUAAAAAAAAUAACACACACACACCCCAUUGUUAGAAUUUACCUGGAUGCUGAGGAUCUCCGCUCCUCCUCUCUUUAAUAAAACUAAUCAUAAAAGUUCUUCCUGACUAGAAAUGCUUUCAAGACACAUUUAAAAAGUCAAAGAGAAGGGGCUUACUGGAUUUCCCCCGCCUGGGAAGUAGUUCCACAAGCCAUGCAACACUGCACAAAAUGUCGUGUUAUGGUGCUCACCAAAUGGGUCUGAUCUAAAGUAAGAUUGGGUAUGAUUGUACAUCUUUUUGAAAUAGAUAAGUUCAUGUGGAUGAUGUGGGUCUUUAGGUGCUGCAUGCUUAACAAGUUUGAUUUUUACACAUGUGCAUUGCCCAUGCAUGUACAAUUUGUAUGUACAUAGACUUAGUUCACAAGUGAACUAAGAAGGGCAGGAUCUCUUGGCAUGAUCCCAAUCCCCCUUCCUCCAUGAACACAUGUCCAGUUACCACACGUUAUCUUAUGAGCACAAGCGUAUCUCUUAACCUAAAGAAUUAGCUUCAAAUGAUUAGCCCAGUCUUAGAAUGUCAUAUUUUAUUAUUAGUUCAACCAACAAUUGAACUAAAUUAGAUCACUAGGUUAUGUUAACAAUUGUUCAAGGCAUAGUUCACAAGGCAGCUAAUUAUUCCAAGAUAAAUUCUCAGGGGUAGGGACUAUUGUUUAAAUAAAAAAUAUUGCACAUGCCUUGUGUUAAUACAGUCAUUGCCAAUCAGACCUCUGGAGAGUAAGUGCGGUGUUUAUGCUGUUGCAAUUGGGAUAGCAUUUUACAAUUAACUUCUAAGUAGAAUAUGAUUAUCUAGCAUUAUCUUGUGUCAUGUUUACAGGUUUGCACUAUACUCGAAAGAAGCAAACUGUCUAUGCAAAGAGAGAAAAAGAGGUUGCUUUCGCACCUGCCCAUCUUCUUUGUAAUUGGCAUCUUUUGUUCACUCACUGUUUGUGGAGCAUCCAGACAGCAUCAUUAUUAGUCUAUUACAACUGUUUUCUGUAUAGUCUUUCUGUCUAUCCCUCCCACUGUCCAACUUGGACUGUUUUGGUGGGUGGCAGUAAUAAAGAGCAAUUGCUUUAAAGAAUUAAAAAUGCUACAAUUCACACAUGUAGAAGAAUAAAGCUGUGGUCCAUAGUUCAAUCCAUUUACCAUUUCAUAUUUUGUUUCUAAGGGUUUGUGGCGAUAACACAGGGUCCCCAGAUGUUUAACGGUCUAUUGAUCCCUGUGCCACCACUGUGCUCGCUUUCCCACUGCCUCCAACCCAUUACUCUCGGGUAGACACUGAGUCCAGAUAGUUGUUAAAAUUGAACCAAAUAAACAAGUUUAUUUUAUAAGUAUUAACAAGUUUAUGGUUUCUCAGAUAAUAUUCUUGUCAGUUUCUUAACAUUAGUUUCUUUACUGGCCUAUACCUUCCUAAUACCUUCUGACUGAUUAUCUCACCUGUUUGACUGACUCCUCUUAACAGAUUCUCUCACUCUCUCAAAUCAGACUAGCCCAACCCAUAGACUUAUCCUCUCCAUCUCUUCUCUAACUCCAGACUAACUUCUCAACCCCCCUAACUCUAACUCUAACUCCUCCCCUUGGGUUCCCAUUGGUUAGUUAUUUUAUAAUUAGUUAACCCUUUCCUUAUGAACCCAGUAUGAUGUCACACACCUAGGAAGGCAAACACCACAGGGCUGUAGAGGCCAUUGUCACUUUAAAAAAUAUAUGAAACAAUAUGAAAUCAUGCCCACCAGACAUGUAAAAAUGUACCUACAAUAUUUCUUCACGUUGCCCCUAACAUUUAGAAGCAACUUUCUUCAGAAUUAAUAUAACAAUAAACUUCAAGCUCUUUACAUUUUGCACCUGACAAUGUUGUGCCAAGCCAAAUGUUUUGUAAAAGUUUGUUUUUAAUGAAAACCUAAGGAUUUUUGUGUUUUUAUUUCCAUGAGCAUAUGUUAUUUUGGUGUCACAAGGCAGCCCAAUGCAGCUUGUCUCAACUCCCAGAACAGAGAUAGGUUCUUCAAAGCCAGUUAGCAAGUUGUUCCCAAAGGCAACUUCAAAUCUUCCUAUUUUAGAGAGGGCACAUGUCAAUUCUUCAUUAACAUUUUCAUUAUAUUAAUAUAACCUAAAGAGAAAUUCCCCCCUGCCCAAAAUGUGAUAAUCAAUUUGGAUCUCAUAUUCAGAUGGAAGGUUUGUUUUCACUUUGCUUUUGCCACUUCACAUGCAAAUUGUAACCUUAAAACAGGGAACAUGGCAAAAAGAAACAAUUAAAUAGUACUGGUGUUUAAAGAAAUGGAGGUUGGGGAGUAGGGGAGACAUCUUCUUACUGGCUUUGGAAAUAACUUCCUAAGCAGGACUGUUAGUAGCAGUCGUACUUUUUUAAUAUAGCUACUACUAUUAUUAGUGAUAGUGAUAAUGAUAUUUAUUAUGUCAACUUUGCUCUCCUGCCUAGCUACAGUGACAUUUUUUUCAAAAUUCAACUAUUUUUUAGGGAAACAUUUAACAGCCUGUUUAAUAGACGCUAUAUUAGAAUGUUCUGUCACACAUCUGGGUGAUGCAUGUUUUAUCAGUAUAAUGAGAAUAUGAUUCCUUCAUAGGUCUUUACUAAGAAGUGAGGAGGAGAUGACAGGGCAUUCUUGGACGCCGAUAAGAAGGAUUUCUGGGUGCAUACAUAUGUAUAAGUGGUUCAGUGUGGCAACACACCAUUAAAGUAUGCCACUCUGAAACAAA
Molecule: non-coding RNA, 3310 nt
Organism: Podarcis lilfordi (Lilford's wall lizard)
Lineage: Eukaryota; Metazoa; Chordata; Lepidosauria; Squamata; Lacertidae
Source: the annotation of a GenBank genome assembly